This 241-nucleotide long non-coding RNA is filed under the name Brachypodium distachyon (stiff brome). RNAcentral describes it as "long non-coding RNA (BDIS_LNC001714)". Lineage: Eukaryota; Viridiplantae; Streptophyta; Magnoliopsida; Poales; Poaceae. The record is from RNAcentral.
UAAGAUUAGAUCCCGUUUUAAUUUUUAACCGAACCGGUAUGCACCAAUUAGAUGCUGACACGUGGCACCCGGAAUUAUAAAGUGAAAAUGUAAUUUUAAUCCCCCGGAAUUAAUAAAAGGCACUUUUGCAGAAAAGCCCCUGCAAUUUCAAAUGAUCAUAACUUUAAAUCUGCUUGGCCAAAUUUAGUGAUCCACACCUUUUUGGAAUCCUUAGGAACUGUAGAAUCUUUUGGCACUGUCC